RNAcentral lists this ribosomal RNA (462 nucleotides) under uncultured bacterium. Its description in RNAcentral is "bacterial SSU rRNA". It matches the Rfam family "Bacterial small subunit ribosomal RNA", at positions 337 to 796 of the family's 1533-position model. The record is from RNAcentral.
UCCUACGGGAGGCAGCAGUGAGGAAUAUUGGUCAAUGGGCGAGAGCCUGAACCAGCCAAGUCGCGUGAAGGAUGACUGUCUUAUGGAUUGUAAACUUCUUUUAUACGGGAAUAACAAGAGUCACGUGUGGCUCCCUGCAUGUACCGUAUGAAUAAGCAUCGGCUAACUCCGUGCCAGCAGCCGCGGUAAUACGGAGGAUGCGAGCGUUAUCCGGAUUUAUUGGGUUUAAAGGGUGCGUAGGCGGCCUGUUAAGUCAGCGGUGAAAUCUAGGAGCUUAACUCCUAAAUUGCCAUUGAUACUGGCGGGCUUGAGUGUAGAUGAGGUAGGCGGAAUGCGUGGUGUAGCGGUGGAAUGCAUAGAUAUCACGCAGAACUCCGAUUGCGAAGGCAGCUUACUAAGGUACAACUGACGCUGAAGCACGAAAGCGUGGGUAUCAAACAGGAUUAGAUACCCUGGUAGUCC